RNAcentral lists this long non-coding RNA (367 nucleotides) under Hordeum vulgare. RNAcentral's name for it is "long non-coding RNA (HVUL_LNC000892)". Lineage: Eukaryota; Viridiplantae; Streptophyta; Magnoliopsida; Poales; Poaceae. The record is from RNAcentral.
GUAGAAUAUUUAGGAUCCAAUAUGGACAUCCAGGUCACGCUAUUGGAUAUUGACCGGAGGGUGUCUCGGUCAUGUCUACAUAGUUCUCGAACCCGUAGGGUGUGCACACUUAAGUUUCAGUGACAUUUCGGUAUAGUUGAAUUAUUUAUGUUGGUAAACGAAUGUUGUUCGGAGUCCAGGAUGAGAUUCCGGACGUCACUAUGGGUUCCGGAAUGGUCUGGAGAUGAAAAUUUAUAUAUAGGAAGUAUCCAUUUGGCUUCCGGAAGGAUUUCAGGCAUUACCGGUAAAGUACGAGGGGUGAUGAAUGGGUUCUAGAGUUCCACUGGGAGGGGCCACCCACCCGGGAGGGGCCCAAACAGGCCCAAGG